Molecule: long non-coding RNA, 608 nt
Filed under: Homo sapiens (human)
Lineage: Eukaryota; Metazoa; Chordata; Mammalia; Primates; Hominidae
Description: non-protein coding lnc-PLAC8L1-2:1
Source: RNAcentral
AUGUUUAUUUACCUUCCUUUAGGGAGAUGCACUUAUUUACAUGGAACCAGAGAAACAAGUGAUGUCCAGGUCGUCAGAUGAAUGUGUUGUGGCUCUGUGUGACCAGUGGUUAGUCUCUUAUAGCAAGAAAAUUCCCCUAGUCAAUUUGCUCACCUUUGACUUAAAAAAAAACAUAUCAAUUUGUCCACUCCCAGGUACUUGGAUUAUGGAGAAGAGAAUUGGAAGAAACAGACAUCUCAGUGCUUGAAGAACCUGGAAACAUUCUGUGAGGAGACCAGGAGGAAUUUUGAAGCCACCUUAGGUUGGCUACAAGAACAUGCUUGCUCAAGAACUUAUGGUCUAGGCACUCACCUGCCUUGGGAUGAGCAGUGGCUGAUUGAAUCACUUUCUGACUCCACUAUUUACAUGGCAUUUUACACAGUUGCACACCUAUUGCAGGGGGGUAACUUGCAUGGACAGGCAGAGUCUCCGCUGGGCAUUAGACCGCAACAGAUGACCAAGGAAGUUUGGGAUUAUGUUUUCUUCAAGGAGGCUCCAUUUCCUAAGACUCAGAUUGCAAAGGAAAAAUUAGAUCAGUUAAAGCAGGAGUUUGAAUUCUGGUAUCCUGU